UACGUAGGGUGCAAGCGUUGUCCGGAAUUAUUGGGCGUAAAGAGCGCGCAGGCGGUCUAUCAAGUCAGAUGUGAAAUAUCCCGGCUUAACCGGGAGGGGUCAUUUGAAACUGGUAGACUAGAGUACAGCAGAGGAUAGCGGAAUUCCCGGUGUAGUGGUGAAAUGCGUAGAUAUCGGGAGGAACACCAGUGGCGAAGGCGGCUAUCUGGGCUGAAACUGACGCUGAGGCGCGAAGGCUAGGGGAGCAAACAGG
Molecule: ribosomal RNA, 253 nt
Filed under: uncultured bacterium
Lineage: Bacteria
Description: partial 16S ribosomal RNA
Rfam family: Bacterial small subunit ribosomal RNA
Source: RNAcentral